AGAGUUUGAUCCUGGCUCAGGACGAACGCUGGCGGUGUGCUUCACACAUGCAAGUCGAACGGAGUAGCAAUACUCAGUGGCGGACGGGUGAGUAACACGUGGGAAUCUACCAUUAGGUGGGGAAUAACAGGCCGAAAGGACUGCUAAUGCCGCAUAUGUAGGCAUCUCGACAGAGAUGUUUAUGAAAGGAGUAAUCCGCCUUUUGAUGAGCCCGCGUCCGAUUAGCUAGUUGGUAGGGUAAAAGCCUACCAAGGCGACGAUCGGUAGGUGGUCUGAGAGGAUGAUCACCCACAAUGGGACUGAGACACGGCCCAUACUCCUACGGGAGGCAGCAGUGGGGAAUUUUACGCAAUGGGGGAAACCCUGACGUAGCGACACCGCGUGAGCGAAGAAGCCCUUUGGGGUGUAAAGCUCUGUCAACAGGAACGAAACAAAUGACGGUACCUGUGGAGGAAGCAUCGGCUAACUACGUGCCAGCAGCCGCGGUAAGACGUAGGAUGCAAGCAUUGUCCGGAUUUAUUGGGCGUAAAGAGUUCGUAGGUGGUUUGUUAAGUCUGAUGUUGAAGACCGGAGCUCAACUUCGGAACUGCAUUGGAUACUGGCAGACUAGAGUAUGGUAGAGGCAAGCGGAAUUCCCAGUGUAGCGGUGAAAUGCGUAGA
This 660-nucleotide ribosomal RNA is filed under the name uncultured bacterium. RNAcentral's name for it is "bacterial SSU rRNA". It matches the Rfam family "Bacterial small subunit ribosomal RNA", at positions 8 to 694 of the family's 1533-position model. The record is from RNAcentral.